This is a non-coding RNA of Poecilia reticulata (guppy), 227 nucleotides long. NCBI's taxonomy places the organism in Eukaryota, Metazoa, Chordata, Actinopteri, Cyprinodontiformes, Poeciliidae. The record is from RefSeq and is a predicted model, not a curated record.
GACGAGGAGGAGGCCUGGCAACACGCCGACGUUCCUAUAGGAGUCAGGAAACAUCGCUUCCAGCUGGCAUUUGAAGCUCGCGCUGUGAAAGUUCAGCCCUUUGCUUGGAUCAAAGUGAGGAACGUUCGCUUCAUCAGUUGCCACGCSGACUACACUCCGUCUUUACCGACAGGGCCGUCAUGUAACUUCGAGGACGGACUCUGCGCUUGGUAUCAGGACAACAGUGA